AAUAGGCAGGUGGAGGGGAGAGGUGAGCAGGUGGGCUGUUCCCAUUGCAGAAGCCCAUCCUGCCUCCUGGGACAUGAGGGAUCGUUUCUCAAAUACUACCAAAGUGAAGUGCAAAUAGAAUCGUGUCCCUCUCCCUCAUUCAACAGUUCCGUGGAUUCCCCACUGAUCUCAGGAGUCCAACAACACAGUUCCUCCACACGGUUCACCUGACGCUGGAUGGUCCAGCCCACCUGGACCUAUGCCUGCGUUUCCUUGACUAAGCUCUUCCUCCAAAAAGCCUUACCAGAUACCUAAGAACACUCUCUAUGUCCUGACACGGCUGGCCUCCUCGUCUGAGACAUCUCACUGUGCUGUAAAUGCUUGUUGAGAUAUCUGCCUCUCCCAGGAGACUCCGUGCUGCUGGAGGAAUCAGGUGGGGAAGGCAGUCUUCAGAGCAUUCACUCUGCCAUUCUCUGUGUCCGUCAUAGCAAUUUCUUCUCCAUGUUCAUGGAACACCUGUGGGCAGCACAGUUCCAGGCACUGGUUCUUUCAUUCCAUCAACACUGUUGGGGAGGCUACUUGGACCAGGCACUGUUCUAGGCAUUAUGGACAGAUCAUGAGUGAAAUGAAAGGAGUCCCAGACCCAGCUGGGUGGAGGUGACAGUGAUGAAGAAGUCACAUGUUGGUUGACAACUGCUGUGAACUGGCAACCGGCACCAUAGAAGGGACUGACUGGCAGCUGUACCUGACCUGAAUUUGGGGAGCUGUAAGGAAGGCCGCUGGGAUGGAGGGAUGGCCCAGUUUAUCCUGAGUAGAGCCCAUUCUUAGGAACCGCAAGAUAAAAUGGAAAAUGUCAUCUAGCCUGGAGAAAAAUGGACUCUCGCUCUUGGCCUCCCAAUAAUGGUCUGAUCCAAUCCACAUCCUCUGCAACCAUGUUUCUUCCUGCUUAGAAGAAAAGGGAUGAAAAGGACUUUUCUGCAGUCAGGCAGACCCGUGUCAACUGCGAGGUGAUCUCAGGUAGAUUGCAUGGCUUCUCUCAGUUUCGGUUUUCUUGU
This 1034-nucleotide long non-coding RNA is filed under the name Callithrix jacchus (white-tufted-ear marmoset). RNAcentral's name for it is "lncRNA (ENSCJAG00000069718.1)". Lineage: Eukaryota; Metazoa; Chordata; Mammalia; Primates; Cebidae. The record is from RNAcentral.